UAAUGUGCUUCCGAUGGAAUCCUGGUU
Molecule: non-coding RNA, 27 nt
Filed under: Rattus norvegicus (Norway rat)
Lineage: Eukaryota; Metazoa; Chordata; Mammalia; Rodentia; Muridae
Source: RNAcentral